GAUGAACGCUAGCGGCAGGCUUAAUACAUGCAAGUCGUGGGGCAGCAUAAGUAGCAAUACUUGAUGGCGACCGGCAAACGGGUGCGGAACACGUACACAACCUUCCGAUAAGUGGGGAAUAGCCCAGAGAAAUUUGGAUUAAUACCCCGUAACAUAUAGAGUAGGCAUCUUCUUUAUAUUAUAGCUUCGGCGCUUAUUGAUGGGUGUGCGUCUGAUUAGGUAGUUGGCGGGGUAACGGCCCACCAAGCCUACGAUCAGUAGCUGAUUGUGAGAGCAUGAUCAGCCACACGGGCACUGAGACACGGGCCCGACUCCUACGGGAGGCAGCAGUAAGGAAUAUUGGACAAUGGGCGAAAGCCUGAUCCAGCCAUGCCGCGUGAAGGAUUAAGGUCCUCUGGAUUGUAAACUUCUUUUAUUUGGGACGAAAAAAGGGAAUUCUUUCCCACUUGACGGUACCAAGUGAAUAAGCACCGGCUAGCUCCGUGCCAGCCGCCGCGGUAA
RNAcentral lists this ribosomal RNA (501 nucleotides) under uncultured bacterium. RNAcentral's name for it is "partial 16S ribosomal RNA". It matches the Rfam family "Bacterial small subunit ribosomal RNA", at positions 28 to 523 of the family's 1533-position model. The record is from RNAcentral.